Molecule: ribosomal RNA, 520 nt
Filed under: uncultured Entrophospora
Lineage: Eukaryota; Fungi; Glomeromycota; Glomeromycetes; Entrophosporales; Entrophosporaceae
Description: SSU rRNA
Rfam family: Eukaryotic small subunit ribosomal RNA
Source: RNAcentral
AGCAGCCGCGGUAAUUCCAGCUCCAACAGCGUAUAUUAAAGUUGUUGCAGUUAAAAAGCUCGUAGUUGAAUUGAGGGAUUGACGUGACGGUCGUGCCUUACAGGGUAUGAACUGUUGCUGUUGAUUUUUCUCACCUUCUGGAGAAACUUGAUGUCCUUAAUUGGGUGUCUUGCGGAUCCAGGACCUUUACCUUGAAAAAAUUAGAGUGUUUAAAGCAGGCAUUUUGCUCGAAUACAUUAGCAUGGAAUAAUAGAAUAGGACGGCAUGGUUCUAUUUUGUUGGUUUCUAGGAUCACCGUAAUGAUUAAUAGGGAUAGUUGGGGGCAUUAGUAUUCAAUUGUCAGAGGCGAAAUACUUGGAUUUGUUGAAGACUAAUUACUGCGAAAGCAUUUGCCAAGGAUGUUUUCAUUAAUCAAGAACGAAAGUUAGGGGAUCGAAGACGAUCAGAUACCGUCGUAGUCUUAACCAAUAAACUAUGCCGACUAGGAAUCAGACGAUGUUAAUUUUUAAUGUAUUCGUUU